Molecule: ribosomal RNA, 469 nt
Filed under: uncultured bacterium
Lineage: Bacteria
Description: bacterial SSU rRNA
Rfam family: Bacterial small subunit ribosomal RNA
Source: RNAcentral
ACGCUGGCGGCGUGCCUAACACAUGCAAGUCGAGCGAGGAGAUCCUUCGGGAUGAUCCUAGCGGCGGACGGGUGAGUAACACGUGGGCAACCUGCCUCAUAGAGAGGAAUAGCCUUCCGAAAGGGAGAUUAAUACCUCAUAACAUUGCAGUUUCGCAUGAAACAGCAAUUAAAGGAGCAAUCCGCUAUGAGAUGGGGCCCGCGGCGCAUUAGCUAGUUGGUGAGGUAACGGCUCACCAAGGCGACGAUGCGUAGCCGACCUGAGAGGGUGAUCGGCCACAUUGGGACUGAGACACGGCCCAGACUCCUACGGGAGGCAGCAGUGGGGAAUAUUGCACAAUGGGGGAAACCCUGAUGCAAGCAACGCCGCGUGAGUGAUGACGGCCUUCGGGUUGUAAAGCUCUGUCUUCAGGGACGAUAAUGACGGUACCUGAGGAGGAAGCCACGGCUAACUACGUGCCAGCAGCCGC